Gallus gallus (chicken) is the source of this 1155-nucleotide long non-coding RNA. NCBI's taxonomy places the organism in Eukaryota, Metazoa, Chordata, Aves, Galliformes, Phasianidae. The record is from Ensembl.
AUGUGAGCACAGUGAGGAAGUCAGUGGUGCCUUUCAACAGCAGUGACAGUGAUGGGAAGGACAAGCUUUAUUCUGGAUGGCCAUGCACAGCUGUCACACCACAAAAUGAAGAGCGUUACGAUCAGAUCAUUCACAUCAAUCAGUGGAUUACAACCAGGGAAUUGCAUACAGAGCUGAAUAUUGGCUUGAAUAGGUUGGAAACAAUGGUGACAACACUGAAAUAUCUCAAAGGUUGUGCUGGGUGGGUCUGACAAAUCUCGCACACUAACAGAAAGAACACCAUAUGCAAGUUUGUCAGGACCUAUUGAACCAAUACGAGGCUGAUGAUGACAGUUUCCCGGGUCUCAUCAUUACCAGUGAUGAGAUGUGGUGUCAACACUACAAGCCAGAGUGACAACAGCAGUCCAUGGAGUGGUGACAUGUGAAUUCCCCACAGAAGAAAAAGUCCAAGGUGCAACUCUCAGCAGAUGCUGAUGGUGGCCCUGGAUGAUGCCCUGCCUGCAAUGGUUUGAUCUGCAUUCUUGUGUAUGUUCAGCCACAGCAUGGGAGAGGCUGGGGAAGCAACAGUGCUUGUCAUAUGGGGAAACCUCCUGGUUAUGGAUGCUGGUGGGAGUAGGGAAGAAAUUGCAUCUCCCUUCCCUGUGCUGCCAUCACCAUUUAUUGCUCUUCGUAUGAGCUGUGUCUCCACACACAAUAUCAUCUAUAAAAUGGACGCUAGCAAGAUUUUCAGAGGUAAGCAUUCCGUUUGGAUACACCAGGGGCUUGCUCACCGAUUCAACGUGCUUCCUCCUGUGUCUUCUGUUUAAAUAUUGUCGUCCUCACCCCAUUUUGUCAGCGCUGAUAAUAGCUAACAACUUACUGCAUGACAUACUCUUCUCAAACUUCGUUGCGUUUCUUCUGUCAGAUGCUCACUGUAAAUCCUUGUAAUGUGAAACAGCUCAUCAGAGUGCAGCUCCACAUUUUCUACCGUUUCUGGUAACUUGUGAGGAGUUGUCACUUCACAUCUAAGAGAUUUCCAGGGAAAGAUGACAGACUCCACAAGCUGCACAUUUCAGAGCCAGAGGAAAUGGAUACUAAACACAAUGUCAUUUAGAUUUAAAAUAAUGGCUCUUAAGUGUUCGCUGUUGUUUGUAAUAAAUAUAAUAUAUAUAAACU